Molecule: long non-coding RNA, 595 nt
Organism: Oncorhynchus keta (chum salmon)
Lineage: Eukaryota; Metazoa; Chordata; Actinopteri; Salmoniformes; Salmonidae
Exons: 4
Source: RefSeq, a predicted model, not a curated record
CCUCCCUAAAGGGGACAGGACUGGGAGGUUGUUGAAGACCAACUAUUAGAGUUGAUAUGAAUGUGUUUCUCCUCCCUAAAGGGGACAGGACUGGGAGGUUGUUGAAGACCAACUAUUAGAGUUGAUAUGAAUGUGUUUCUCCUCCCUAAAGGGGACAGGACUGGGAGGUUGUUGAAGACCAACUAUUAGAGUUGAUAUGAAUGUGUUUCUCCUCCCUAAAGGGGACAGGACUGGGAGGUUGUUGAAGACCACAGGAAACUACUACACUUGAUACUAAUGUAUCUGUCUGUCUCUCCUGUUCUCCAGGUAACAUCAUUGGGUCGGGGAUAUUCAUCUCUCCUAAGGGUGUUUUGGAGCACGCUGGUUCGGUGGGUCUGUCCCUCAUCGUAUGGGUGUGCGGAGGGGGUAUCUGCGCCCUGGGGUCCAUGUGUUACGCUGAGCUGGGCGUCACCAUUCCCAAGUCAGGGGGAGACUACUCCUACGUCACGGAGAUAUUCGGAGGACUGGUGGGGUUCCUGCUCCUAUGGAGCGCGGUUCUCAUCAUGUACCCCACCACCCUGGCUGUCAUAGCUCUCACCUUCUCCAACUAUGUCCU